UGCGGAAGGAUCAUUACUGAUUUGCUUAAUUGCACCACAUGUGUUUUUCUUUGAAACAAACUUGCUUUGGCGGUGGGCCCAGCCUGCCGCCAGAGGUCUAAACUUACAACCAAUUUUUUAUCAACUUGUCACACCAGAUUAUUACUUAAUAGUCAAAACUUUCAACAACGGAUCUCUUGGUUCUCGCAUCGAUGAAGAACGCAGCGAAAUGCGAUACGUAAUAUGAAUUGCARAUAUUCGUGAAUCAUCGAAUCUUUGAACGCACAUUGCGCCCUCUGGUAUUCCGGAGGGCAUGCCUGUUUGAGCGUCGUUUCUCCCUCAAACCGCUGGGUUUGGUGUUGAGCAAUACGACUUGGGUUUGCUUGAAAGACGGUAGUGGUAAGGCGGGAUCGCUUUGACAAUGGCUUAGGUCUAACCAAAAACAUUGCUUGCGGCGGUAACGUCUACCACGUAUAUCUUCAAACUUUGACCUCAAAUCAGGUAG
This 484-nucleotide unclassified non-coding RNA is filed under the name Candida albicans. RNAcentral's name for it is "sequence contains 18S rRNA gene, ITS1, 5.8S rRNA gene, ITS2, 28S rRNA gene". The record is from RNAcentral. Lineage: Eukaryota; Fungi; Ascomycota; Pichiomycetes; Serinales; Debaryomycetaceae.